Molecule: ribosomal RNA, 238 nt
Filed under: uncultured bacterium
Lineage: Bacteria
Description: partial 16S ribosomal RNA
Rfam family: Bacterial small subunit ribosomal RNA
Source: RNAcentral
GAUCAUGGCUCAGGAUGAACGCUGGCGGCGUGCUUAACACAUGCAAGUCGAACGAAGCACUCUAUUUGAUUUUCUUCGGAAAUGAAGAUUUUGUGACUGAGUGGCGGACGGGUGAGUAACGCGUGGGUAACCUGCCUCAUACAGGGGGAUAACAGUUGGAAACGACUGCUAAUACCGCAUAAGCGCACAGGAUUGCAUGAUCCGGUGUGAAAAACUCCGGUGGUAUGAGAUGGACCCG